AGACGUCUACAUUAGAUACCCGUGUAGUCCCAGCCGUAAGCUAUGCGCGUUAGGUGUAUCGGUGACCACGAGUUACCGAGGUGCCGAAGGGAAACCGUGAAACGUGCCGCCUGGGAAGUACGGUCGCAAGGCUGAAACUUAAAGGAAUUGGCGGGGAGCACCACAACAGGUGGAGCCUGCGGUUUAAUUGGACUCAACGCCGGGAAGCUCACCGGAUAGGACAGCAGAAUGAUUGCCGGGCUGAAGACCCUGCAUGACUAGCUG
This 264-nucleotide ribosomal RNA is filed under the name uncultured archaeon. RNAcentral's name for it is "partial 16S ribosomal RNA". It matches the Rfam family "Archaeal small subunit ribosomal RNA", at positions 717 to 982 of the family's 1478-position model. The record is from RNAcentral.